This 1346-nucleotide ribosomal RNA is filed under the name uncultured bacterium. RNAcentral's name for it is "partial 16S ribosomal RNA". It matches the Rfam family "Bacterial small subunit ribosomal RNA", at positions 28 to 1381 of the family's 1533-position model. The record is from RNAcentral.
GACGAACGCUGGCGGCGUGCUUAACACAUGCAAGUCGAACGGAAAGGCCCUGCUUUUGUGGGGUGCUCGAGUGGCGAACGGGUGAGUAACACGUGAGUAACCUGCCCUUGACUUUGGGAUAACUUCAGGAAACUGGGGCUAAUACCGGAUAGGAGCUCCUGCUGCAUGGUGGGGGUUGGAAAGUUUCGGCGGUUGGGGAUGGACUCGCGGCUUAUCAGCUUGUUGGUGGGGUAGUGGCUUACCAAGGCUUUGACGGGUAGCCGGCCUGAGAGGGUGACCGGCCACAUUGGGACUGAGAUACGGCCCAGACUCCUACGGGAGGCAGCAGUGGGGAAUAUUGCACAAUGGGCGGAAGCCUGAUGCAGCAACGCCGCGUGCGGGAUGACGGCCUUCGGGUUGUAAACCGCUUUCGCCUGUGACGAAGCGUGAGUGACGGUAAUGGGUAAAGAAGCACCGGCUAACUACGUGCCAGCAGCCGCGGUGAUACGUAGGGUGCGAGCGUUGUCCGGAUUUAUUGGGCGUAAAGGGCUCGUAGGUGGUUGAUCGCGUCGGAAGUGUAAUCUUGGGGCUUAACCCUGAGCGUGCUUUCGAUACGGGUUGACUUGAGGAAGGUAGGGGAGAAUGGAAUUCCUGGUGGAGCGGUGGAAUGCGCAGAUAUCAGGAGGAACACCAGUGGCGAAGGCGGUUCUCUGGGCCUUUCCUGACGCUGAGGAGCGAAAGCGUGGGGAGCGAACAGGCUUAGAUACCCUGGUAGUCCACGCUGUAAACGGUGGGUACUAGGUGUGGGGUCCAUUCCACGGGUUCCGUGCCGUAGCUAACGCUUUAAGUACCCCGCCUGGGGAGUACGGCCGCAAGGCUAAAACUCAAAGGAAUUGACGGGGCCCCGCACAAGCGGCGGAGCAUGCGGAUUAAUUCGAUGCAACGCGUAGAACCUUACCUGGGUUUGACAUGGAUCGGGAGUGCUCAGAGAUGGGUGUGCCUCUUAUGGGGUCGGUUCACAGGUGGUGCAUGGCUGUCGUCAGCUCGUGUCGUGAGAUGUUGGGUUAAGUCCCGCAACGAGCGCAACCCUUGUUCACUGUUGCCAGCACGUUAUGGUGGGGACUCAGUGGAGACCGCCGGGGUCAACUCGGAGGAAGGUGGGGAUGACGUCAAGUCAUCAUGCCCCUUAUGUCCAGGGCUUCACGCAUGCUACAAUGGCUGGUACAGAGAGUGGCGAGCCUGUGAGGGUGAGCGAAUCUCGGAAAGCCGGUCUCAGUUCGGAUUGGGGUCUGCAACUCGACCUCAUGAAGUCGGAGUCGCUAGUAAUCGCAGAUCAGCAACGCUGCGGUGAAUACGUUCCCGGGGCU